Molecule: ribosomal RNA, 253 nt
Filed under: uncultured bacterium
Lineage: Bacteria
Description: partial 16S ribosomal RNA
Rfam family: Bacterial small subunit ribosomal RNA
Source: RNAcentral
UACGUAGGGGGCAAGCGUUGUCCGGAAUCAUUGGGCGUAAAGCGCGCGUAGGCGGCCAGAUAAGUCCGGUGUGAAAGUCACAGGCUCAACCUGUGAAUGCCGCUGGAAACUGUCUGGCUUGAGUCCGGAAGGGGCGAGUGGAAUUCCUGGUGUAGCGGUGAAAUGCGCAGAUAUCAGGAGGAACACCAAUGGCGAAGGCAGCUCGCUGGAACGGUACUGACGCUGAGGCACGAAAGCGUGGGGAGCGAACAGG